CUUGGUCAUUUAGAGGAAGUAAAAGUCGUAACAAGGUCUCCGUAGGUGAACCUGCGGAGGGAUCAUUAAUGAAUGGCUUUGGCCUUCAACCAUCAACCCGUGGAAGCAAGACGUGCUUUGGCGCUCCGACGCCACGUUUAUGCGGCAAAGUGUUUGUCUGAAUCGAAUUAAGAAUUAAAACUUUCAACAAAGGAUCUCUUGGCUCUCGCAUCGAUGAAGAACGCAGCGAAGCGCGAAAUGUAGUGUGAAUCGCAGAACAUUGUGAAUCAUCGAAUCUUUGAACGCACAUUGCGCCUCCCUUUACCGGGAGGCAUGCCUGUCUGAGCGUCAUUUAAACCAUAGCCCCGCCGAGGGUCUGUCUUGGGCGUCGCCGGCCGGCGUAGCCUCAAAGCCAUCGGUCUAAAGAGCGGACGAGAUCCAUCCGGACUGACCGUUCUGCGACCUUAAACCUCCGACUUGACCUCAGAUCAGGUAGGGCUACCGCCUGAACUUAAGCAUAUCAAUAAGGCGAGGAACAGAAACCAACAGGGAUUCCCCCAGUAGUGGCGAAUGAAGCGGGAAAAGCUCAAGUUUGAAAUCCGAGGUUUACCUCGGAGUUGUAAGCUGAAGAGGCGUCGACCGACGCGGUCCGGGCCCAAUUUCCUUGGAACAGGAGGUCACGGAGGGUGAGAACCCCGUCUGUGGCUCGGGUGCCGUCGUCCUUGUGUCGUGCCCUCGAAGAGUCGGGUUGUUUGGGAAUGCAGCUCAAAAUGGGUGGUAAAUUUCAUCUAAGGCUAAAUAUAGGCGAGAGACCGAUAGCAAACAAGUAGAGUGAUCGAAAGAUGAAAAGUACUUUGAAAAGAGAGUGAAACAGUACGUGAAAUUGUUGAAAGGGAAGCGUUUGGCAUCAGCCCAUGGCGCCCCUCGAUCACCCGGGCUUCUGCCCGGUGCACUUGAGGGGCGUUGGGCCAGCGUCGACUUUGCCCGCCGGAGAAAGGCUUUGGGAACGUGCCUCCUCUCGGAGGGUUAUAUCCCUUGGCGUCAUGCGGCGUGGCGGGGUCGAGGUCUGCGGUUUAUCCUAGGACGCUGGCGUAAUGGUUCCAAGCGACCCGUCUUGAAACACGGACC
RNAcentral lists this ribosomal RNA (1107 nucleotides) under uncultured fungus. Its description in RNAcentral is "eukaryotic LSU rRNA". The stretch from base 458 to 1107 matches the Rfam family "Eukaryotic large subunit ribosomal RNA", at positions 1 to 667 of the family's 3401-position model. The record is from RNAcentral. Lineage: Eukaryota; Fungi.